AUAGGUUAAGUUAAUAAGGGCGCAUGGUGGAUGCCUUGGCACUAGAAGGCGAUGAAGGACGUGACUAACUACGAUAUGCCUCGGUUAGCUGUAAGUAAGCUUACCCGGGGGUUUCCGAAUGGGGCAACCCGAUCUUAAUGAUCAUCAUCUUUUUGAAUUCAUAGAUUAGAUGAAGCAAACGCUGUGAACUGAAACAUCUAAGUAGCAGUAGGAAAGUAAAGAAAUUUCGAUUCCGUCAGUAGCGGCGAGCGAACGCGGAAGAGCCCAAACCUGGAUGCUUGCAUCCAGGGGUUGUAGGACUGAUGUUGAGUUACAAAGGUAUAAGAUAGCAGAAACAGUUGGGAAGCUGUUCCAAAGAGGGUGACAGGCCCGUAUGCGAAAUCUUGUACUCUCUAAUCAGGAUCCUGAGUAC
Molecule: ribosomal RNA, 412 nt
Filed under: Oenococcus oeni
Lineage: Bacteria; Bacillati; Bacillota; Bacilli; Lactobacillales; Lactobacillaceae
Description: bacterial LSU rRNA
Rfam family: Bacterial large subunit ribosomal RNA
Source: RNAcentral